RNAcentral lists this transfer RNA (69 nucleotides) under Pseudogramma paucilepis (Weakscaled podge). Its description in RNAcentral is "tRNA-Ile". It matches the Rfam family "tRNA". From Rfam's summary of the family: Transfer RNA (tRNA) molecules are approximately 80 nucleotides in length. The record is from RNAcentral. Lineage: Eukaryota; Metazoa; Chordata; Actinopteri; Perciformes; Serranidae.
GGAACCGUGCCUGAACAAAGGGCCACUUUGAUAGAGUGAAUCAUGGAGGUUAAAAUCCUCCCGGCUCCU